Molecule: long non-coding RNA, 1221 nt
Filed under: Malus domestica (apple)
Lineage: Eukaryota; Viridiplantae; Streptophyta; Magnoliopsida; Rosales; Rosaceae
Description: long non-coding RNA (MDOM_LNC016459)
Source: RNAcentral
GAUCUGGUUUGAACUGUGAAGACAUAUUCAAAUCGGAUUCAAGAACUGAGAGAAUCUUUUAAUCAUCAUCUUACUAGAAAUAACUUGAAUACAACUGGAAGUAUAUAACAUAUUGCUAGGCUAAUGAAUGAAAAGACAAAAACAAAUAGGGUCAGGCAAGGUUUAACCUUAUCGGGCAAGGCUGAUCGUCUUGCAACUUCCUAUCUUUGUGGUUUAUCAAGGGGUUUGAGAGCUUUAGAAAAGAAGGUAGGGAGUUGAGUUUACAGAAAGAAAUCAAUACUACAGCAAGCUUAGGACAAGGUAGCAGAGCUAUUACAAAGGCUUUUGGUGAGAGUUUAUCCCAAAAGGAAUGAAGGCUUGGGCUGACUACAGCUUCGUUUGAAGGCAAAUCUGGCUUUGAGCAGAGUUUGUGCUUGUAUUUGUUUGUUUGAUUGAGUGUCUUUAUCUCUGAUUUCUUUUUCUUCUUUUAUAGACACUUCGAUUUGGCCUCCUGUAGCAAUAAUCUUGCCCGAAUGCAGCUUGAAGGGUAAUGACUCAUCAACUAUUUACUUGUACUGCCACUGUAAAGUACUUUUGGGCUGAUUAGCUGGCCGGUCUAUACCACUUGGUCUCUAGGCAGGUGAGCAAGUGGUGCAAAUGAUCUGCACCUAGAAAGGCCUUGUCUGCCUUCUGGGCUUGGGUUGGGCUUCAGGCUUUUCCCCUUUUCAGACCUCCAUUUGGGCCAACUCCUGCUUGAGCCCAAAGUUCAAGUUUUAAUCCAAACACAACUGCUUUACCAGAAAAAGAAAAAAAAUAUGAAUCCGAAAAAAAAUUUGGAUUGCACAACUGAUUCAACCAGGUUCUAGAAUGAAAAACUUUUUAUUGUAAUUAUUAAUUUUCCAUUCGUAAAAAUUCUAGCAUAGACACAUGUAUCUAUUGUACUAUAUAAAUGUUUUUUUUUGGUCGAAAGUACCAUAUAAAUGUUUUGUACCUAGUAAUUUGUGAAUGAAGAAAACACGAUUCACCCAAAUCCUUUUACAUGGUACUAGAGAAACUUUCCGGGUGACCUACACAAAACCUAAGAGGAGUUCCACCGUUGCUAAGGCUCCCUAGGGCUAUUCACUAUUUAAUCCACCCAGUAAACAAUAACUUCUCUUAAUGAACAGUAACUGCCUUUUGCAUCUUCACCCCUACACUGAAUAGCCCUGGCAAUAGGCAAUAAAAUAUUAGUAUUUUAUUUAU